This 274-nucleotide long non-coding RNA is filed under the name Nicotiana benthamiana. Its description in RNAcentral is "long non-coding RNA (NBEN_LNC032061)". Lineage: Eukaryota; Viridiplantae; Streptophyta; Magnoliopsida; Solanales; Solanaceae. The record is from RNAcentral.
GCUUCUGUGGUUCCCAAGUCGCAGAAAUACCAGAAGAUGAAAAGUUCAGUUGUUGCACACUUAGGAAAAUCAACCCGUCGACCAUCCGAAAUCAUCCCGAGGUCCCCGGGACCCCAACCAAAAAUACAAUUACCAUAUAACGCCUUAUUCGAAUUUGUACCAAUCCUUAAAACCUCCAAACAACACCAGAAACCCGAUUAAAUCAAAGAUUCAAGCCUAAGAACUUCAAGUUCCUCAAAAACACGCUUUCGAUCCAAAACCUACCCAACACUCC